RNAcentral lists this long non-coding RNA (340 nucleotides) under Gallus gallus (chicken). Lineage: Eukaryota; Metazoa; Chordata; Aves; Galliformes; Phasianidae. The record is from RNAcentral.
GAAACAAAACAUGAGGAGCAAACUCUGGUGUGUUGCUGUGGAAAUCCAGUUACUUUAGGUAUAAAAUGUUUUUGUUUUCUAGAAGAAUCUUUAACCCGCCCUGUUUAAGAGCUCAGACAAGCAAAUGAUUUACUUAAAGAUUCAAGAAUAAGUUUGGGGAACAGAACUGAUACUUCAAUGUGCCUGAGGUUCCCAUACAGUUGAGCAGGUGAAUGAAGACAACAAGCCCAGCUGCUCCAAACAGCAAGAUGAAGGAGAACAUACAUGUCAGCCUCAUAAUUAUUGUUCUCAGAUCAAUCCAAUUUGGACCCAGGAAAAGAACUGCACGCAAUCUCCAGAG